GUGCUAAUGUCAGCAGUACAUAUACUAAAGUUGGAAUGAUAUAGAAAAGAUUAGCAUGGUCCCUGCACAAAGGAAAUGAAAGAGACCACAGCUUCCUUCAAUGUAAUU
This is a small nuclear RNA of Erinaceus europaeus (western European hedgehog), 108 nucleotides long. Lineage: Eukaryota; Metazoa; Chordata; Mammalia; Eulipotyphla; Erinaceidae. The record is from Ensembl.